ACAACACUUUUAAUUCAACUUUAUAUGUUAUAUAUUUAAAAUUAAAAGCCAUGCAAACAAGGUGUAAAAGCAUAUGCUCAACCCUAGCGCCCAGCUAAAUUGGGGAGGGCACAUACUCGAAACCCAAUAAUCGGGGAGAGAUGACAAGGGGAAAACAGAAGAUCGAGGCUCAGAGGAAAAAUGCUGAGAGAAAUCAGAAAGGAAAAGGGUCUCAGCUUGAAGCUCGUGCUGUCGGCCUCAAAGUCAUCUGUCCCAUUUGUAAAGCGCAGCUAGCAAAUCAAAACCAACUUGUGGAUCACUAUGGGUCUAAGCAUCCAAAGGAAAAGCCUCCGAGUAACUCAGAAUAACAUUUCAUGUUUCUUGGGAAGCCUCUUGCUUGCUUUUUGUUCUCAAACCUUUGAAUCAAUUAGUAAAAACCCUGUUAAAAAUGCAGCGUCCAAGCUGGUUGUGGCUGCUUUGUGAAACAGACUGAACAUUCUCUGUGAAUAGUGUAAGCAAGAAAACAAUAAAAAUCCAAACAAGGGUGGAUGGUUUUCUUCUCUUC
Long non-coding RNA from Capsicum annuum, 544 nucleotides. RefSeq lists it as uncharacterized. The transcript has 2 exons. Lineage: Eukaryota; Viridiplantae; Streptophyta; Magnoliopsida; Solanales; Solanaceae. The record is from RefSeq and is a predicted model, not a curated record.